Long non-coding RNA from Thunnus maccoyii (southern bluefin tuna), 449 nucleotides. RefSeq lists it as uncharacterized. NCBI's taxonomy places the organism in Eukaryota, Metazoa, Chordata, Actinopteri, Scombriformes, Scombridae. The transcript is spliced from 3 exons. The record is from RefSeq and is a predicted model, not a curated record.
CCUGGUACAAAGAGGACCAAACAGUGCUUCAAGGGCAACGAGGAAGUUUUCAUUUCACCUCCAUCAGCUCUGAGGACAGAGGGAUCUACUACUGCAAGUCUGAGAAUCAAUAUGGACAGAUCAACUCUUCAUUUCUAUUCAUUGACGUCCAGUAUGCUCCAAAGCUUCCCUCUGUGUCAGUGAGUCCCUCUGGUGAAAUAGUUGAGGGCAGUUCAGUGACUCUGACCUGUGGCAGUGAUGCUAAACCAGCAGCUACUUAUACCUGGUACAAGGAGAACCAAACAGUGCUUCAGGGGCAACGGGGAAGUUUUCAUUUCACCUCCAUCAGCUCUGAGGACAGAGGGAUCUACUACUGCAAGUCUGAGAAUCAAUAUGGGCAGAUCAACUCUUCAUUUCUAUUCAUUGAUGUCCAGUAUGAUCCAAAGCUUCCCUCUGUGUCAAUGAUUCCC